GCUCCCUUCGUCUAGCGGCCCAGGACGUCGCCCUCUCAAGGCGAAAACACGAGUUCGAACCUCGUAGGGAGCGCCA
RNAcentral lists this transfer RNA (76 nucleotides) under Aquimonas voraii. RNAcentral's name for it is "tRNA_Glu_CTC". It matches the Rfam family "tRNA". Rfam says of the family: Transfer RNA (tRNA) molecules are approximately 80 nucleotides in length. Their secondary structure includes four short double-helical elements and three loops (D, anti-codon, and T loops). The record is from RNAcentral. RNAcentral also lists the same sequence under 3 other names. Lineage: Bacteria; Pseudomonadati; Pseudomonadota; Gammaproteobacteria; Lysobacterales; Lysobacteraceae.